UACGAGGGGGGCAAGCGUUGUUCGGAAUUACUGGGCGUAAAGGGCGCGUAGGCGGCUUUUCAAGUCGGGCGUGAAAUCUCCGGGCUUAACCCGGAAGGGUCGUUCGAUACUGUUGAGCUAGAGUGUGGAAGAGGCAACUAGAAUUCCGUGUGUAGCGGUGAAAUGCGUAGAUAUACGGAGGAAUACCUGAGGCGAAGGCGGGUUGCUGGGCCAACACUGACGCUGAGGCGCGAAAGCCAGGGGAGCAAACGGG
Molecule: ribosomal RNA, 253 nt
Filed under: uncultured bacterium
Lineage: Bacteria
Description: partial 16S ribosomal RNA
Rfam family: Bacterial small subunit ribosomal RNA
Source: RNAcentral